GACGAACGCUGGCGGCGUGCUUAACACAUGCAAGUCGAACGGAAAGGCCCUGCUUUUGUGGGGUGCUCGAGUGGCGAACGGGUGAGUAACACGUGAGUAACCUGCCCUUGACUUUGGGAUAACUUCAGGAAACUGGGGCUAAUACCGGAUAGGUGCUCCUGCUGCAUGGUGGGGGUUGGAAAGUUUCGGCGGUUGGGGAUGGACUCGCGGCUUAUCAGCUUGUUGGUGGGGUAGUGGCUUACCAAGGCUUUGACGGGUAGCCGGCCCGAGAGGGUGACCGGCCACAUUGGGACUGAGAUACGGCCCAGACUCCUACGGGAGGCAGCAGUGGGGAAUAUUGCACAAUGGGCGGAAGCCUGAUGCAGCAACGCCGCGUGCGGGAUGACGGCCUUCGGGUUGUAAACCGCUUUCGCCUGUGACGAAGCGUGAGUGACGGUAAUGGGUAAAGAAGCACCGGCUAACUACGUG
Molecule: ribosomal RNA, 468 nt
Filed under: uncultured bacterium
Lineage: Bacteria
Description: partial 16S ribosomal RNA
Rfam family: Bacterial small subunit ribosomal RNA
Source: RNAcentral